AGUCUAGUAGUUCAAUUGGUAGAACGCUUGCCUGUCACGUAAGAGGUUGCCGGUUCGAGUCCGGUCUAGACUG
RNAcentral lists this transfer RNA (73 nucleotides) under Candidatus Pelagibacterales bacterium. Its description in RNAcentral is "tRNA-Asp". It matches the Rfam family "tRNA". Rfam says of the family: Transfer RNA (tRNA) molecules are approximately 80 nucleotides in length. Their secondary structure includes four short double-helical elements and three loops (D, anti-codon, and T loops). Lineage: Bacteria; Pseudomonadati; Pseudomonadota; Alphaproteobacteria; Candidatus Pelagibacterales. The record is from RNAcentral.